UACGAAGGGUGCAAGCGUUAAUCGGAAUUACUGGGCGUAAAGCGUGCGUAGGUGGUUUGUUAAGUCUGAUGUGAAAGCCCCGGGCUCAACCUGGGAAUGGCAUUGGAAACUGGCUUGCUAGAGUGCGGUAGAGGGUAGCGGAAUUUCCGGUGUAGCGGUGAAAUGCGUAGAGAUCGGAAGGAACAUCCGUGGCGAAGGCGGCUACCUGGACCAGCACUGACACUGAGGCACGAAAGCGUGGGGAGCAAACAGG
RNAcentral lists this ribosomal RNA (253 nucleotides) under uncultured bacterium. Its description in RNAcentral is "partial 16S ribosomal RNA". It matches the Rfam family "Bacterial small subunit ribosomal RNA", at positions 524 to 776 of the family's 1533-position model. The record is from RNAcentral.